RNAcentral lists this ribosomal RNA (253 nucleotides) under uncultured bacterium. RNAcentral describes it as "partial 16S ribosomal RNA". It matches the Rfam family "Bacterial small subunit ribosomal RNA", at positions 524 to 776 of the family's 1533-position model. The record is from RNAcentral.
UACGGAGGAUGCAAGCGUUAUCCGGAAUGAUUGGGCGUAAAGCGUCCGCAGGUGGCUAUGUAAGUCUGCUGUUAAAGAGUGAGGCUCAACCUCAUAAGAGCAGUGGAAACUACAUGGCUAGAGUGCGUUCGGGGCAGAGGGAAUUCCUGGUGUAGCGGUGAAAUGCGUAGAUAUCAGGAGGAACACCAAUAGCGAAGGCAGCUCGCUGGGACGUUACUGACACUAAGGCGCGAAAGCGUGGGGAGCGAACAGG